This 468-nucleotide ribosomal RNA is filed under the name uncultured bacterium. RNAcentral describes it as "partial 16S ribosomal RNA". It matches the Rfam family "Bacterial small subunit ribosomal RNA", at positions 28 to 507 of the family's 1533-position model. The record is from RNAcentral.
GACGAACGCUGGCGGCGUGCUUAACACAUGCAAGUCGAACGGAAAGGCCCUGCUUUUGUGGGGUGCUCGAGUGGCGAACGGGUGAGUAACACGUGAGUAACCUGCCCUUGACUUUGGGAUAACUUCAGGAAACUGGGGCUAAUACCGGAUAGGAGCUCCUGCUGCAUGGUGGGGGUUGGAAAGUUUCGGCGGUUGGGGAUGGACUCGCGGCUUAUCAGCUUGUUGGUGGGGUAGUGGCUUACCAAGGCUUUGACGGGUAGCCGGCCUGAGAGGGUGACCGGCCACAUUGGAACUGAGAUACGGCCCAGACCCCUACGGGAGGCAGCAGUGGGGAAUAUUGCACAAUGGGCGGAAGCCUGAUGCAGCAACGCCGCGUGCGGGAUGACGGCCUUCGGGUUGUAAACCGCUUUCGCCUGUGACGAAGCGUGAGUGACGGUAAUGGGUAAAGAAGCACCGGCUAACUACGUG